GCUUGACUGUAUCCUGGAAUUGGGUUUCGGUUUUUCUUGCGCAGUCUAGGUGGGAGGCUAUGAAGAUUUCCUUCCGGGAAAUUAGAGCCAUCAGUGAGAGACCACUCUGGAAGAACUAAAAUUCUAAUGGCGUUCCUUGAAUCAGGACGCUUGACAUUUUCAGGUGGGCAGUUUUUCUGGGGCGGAAGCCUCAUAAAGCGUAACUGAGGCGCGCAAAGGUUCCCUCAGUCUGGAUGGAAAUCAGACUAUUAGAGUGUAAAGGCAGAAGGGAGCUUGACUGCAAGAGUGACAACUCAAGCAGGGACGAAAGUCCGGCCUUAGUGAUCCGACGGCUGCGAUGGAAGGGCCGUCGCUCAACGGAUAAAAGUUA
Molecule: ribosomal RNA, 370 nt
Filed under: uncultured alga
Lineage: Eukaryota
Description: bacterial LSU rRNA
Rfam family: Bacterial large subunit ribosomal RNA
Source: RNAcentral